RNAcentral lists this transfer RNA (73 nucleotides) under Solirubrobacterales bacterium. It matches the Rfam family "tRNA". Rfam says of the family: Transfer RNA (tRNA) molecules are approximately 80 nucleotides in length. RNAcentral also lists the same sequence under 3 other names. The record is from Rfam by way of RNAcentral. Lineage: Bacteria; Bacillati; Actinomycetota; Thermoleophilia; Solirubrobacterales.
GGGGCUAUAGCUCAGUUGGGAGAGCGCCUGGUUCGCAAUCAGGAGGUCGCCGGUUCGAGCCCGGCUAGCUCCA